RNAcentral lists this ribosomal RNA (250 nucleotides) under uncultured prokaryote. RNAcentral describes it as "partial 16S rRNA". It matches the Rfam family "Bacterial small subunit ribosomal RNA", at positions 525 to 775 of the family's 1533-position model. The record is from RNAcentral.
ACGUAGGGGGCAAGCGUUAUCCGGAAUUAUUGGGCGUAAAGAGUGCGUAGGUGGUUUUUUAAGCGUGAGGUGAAAGGCAAUAGCUUAACUAUUGUAAGCCUUGCGAACUGGAAGACUUGAGUGCAGGAGAGGAAAGUGGAAUUCCUAGUGUAGCGUUGAAAUGCGUAGAAAUUAGGAGGAACACCAGUGGCGAGGGCGACAUUCUGGACUGUAACUUAUUCUGAGGCGCGAAAGCGUGGGGAGCAAACAG